AUCCCUUUUCCGACCAAGCCUUGUCUCCUGCACACGAUUCCCCCAACCAGAAGUCGUGCACCGCUCCGAGCUCCUUCCCCCGAUGAGAACGCGCGAUACCUCGCCGGCAGGUGCUCCUUCCCUCAACUAGGGCUUGGCCCGGCGGCACCUGCAACAACAACGAGCAGAAGUGCUCCCUUCCCCCCAAAUCUAGCACUUCUGCGCGUGAUACCUCGCCGGCAGCAGCACGUGCACCUAUCCGCAGCAAUCCCCGGCAAAAAUCCGACACAGGCACCGACCUCCAUCGCCGGAUUUCGUCCUGCAUCCCACACACAGUCUUCAGUCUUCAGUCAGAAUAUGGUACUGACCCUUCUUCUUACCUGCAGAAUGAAUUCCUCAGUUGGAUCUGCUGGAAGAAUUAUGGAAGAGGUACCAAAUGAGGGGAGUGAUGUCCUUGGUGAAAGAAGUAUGAAAGAGCAACAGAGUGACAAGGAUGAUGUUUAUGUUGAAAGAGAGAUGGAGCAAGUAUCAAGUCAUGAUGAUGAUGUGUUGAGGGAAGCAAGUCAUGAUGAUGAUAUGUUGAGGGAAGCACUGCUUGAAACUGGGCAGUUUACAGGUGCCAUGAGCAUUGAUCAGAUUGAUACAGAUGACUUUGGACAUGAAGAUGGAGAGACUAAAGACGAGGGGGUCCAAUCUCAACCUGCAGUCCCUACUGUUGGUAUGGAGUUCUUUUCAGAAAAAGAAGCUCAAGAUUACUACAAUCGUUAUGCAAAGAACUGGGGUUUCGGAACAAAGAUUUCAAGCAACAAAAAAAGCAAUGUCACCAAGGAGUACAACAGAUAUGAGUUUGCUUGCUACUUUGAGCGCACAAGCCAGAAAAAGAAUCCAAAGUCAAGCGCUAGCAGUGGGUCAAAAAACUGCGAGAGUUUGGGAAAACCCAAAGGCAACGCAAGAAAAUGUAACAACCCCGAUAUGUGGUCCGGCUACCCAAUGGAAGAACAAGCUGCAAAGUUCUAUACGCGUGCAAUGUUCAGCAAAUUUCAGCAUAGGUUGUACUUGAGUACAACUUAUCAAACAAUUGCUGGCCCGGAACCUGGAUCAUAUUUUGUGCAGCUGAUUUUAAAGGAUGACAGUAAAAAAUUCUUAGUUCAUUAUGACCUCACUGAAAGCUUCAGUUGCGCCUACAACAAAAUUCAGAGGGACAAGAUGUUGUGUGGGCAUGCUUUGAAAGUGAUGACACAGUUGAAUGUGUAUGUGCUACCAAAAAAGUACCUUUGUGAUCGAUGGACGCUCAGAGGGUCUGAACAUGCUUCAAAUGCUCUUGUGCAAGCCAACAUCGAUGAGGCAUCAAGCAAGAAAAUGAAGUAUGUCCGGCUCUACAAGAAAUCAGCCUCCGUUGCAGCUGAAGCCUGCAAAACAAAAGAGGGAUAUGAGCUUGCAGUCAAGACAAUUAAUGGAUUGGCAGAAAAACUAGUAGUGAUUAACACAACAAAAAACCUUGAGCAAACUCCCUCUGUGAGCAGCACUGCAGUGUUGGAUGGUACCCCUGUAGCAGCAACACUGAAAGAUCCUAAGAAGAAGGUUCCGAGGGGCAGGCCCAAAAACUCAACUAGGUUAAAAUCUUCUGUGUUUGAUGAUACCAGUGGUGGGUCAACAAGCCGUAAAAAAAGGAAGAAAUCAACAAGCAACCAAACCUGCUGA
Molecule: long non-coding RNA, 1680 nt
Filed under: Oryza sativa Indica Group (long-grained rice)
Lineage: Eukaryota; Viridiplantae; Streptophyta; Magnoliopsida; Poales; Poaceae
Description: lncRNA OsZS97_07G010310
Source: RNAcentral